GUUUCCAUAGUGUAGUGGUUAUCACGUUCGUCUCACAUAUGAAAGGUCCCCAGUUCAAAACUUGGUGCAAACA
Molecule: non-coding RNA, 73 nt
Organism: Hippocampus comes (tiger tail seahorse)
Lineage: Eukaryota; Metazoa; Chordata; Actinopteri; Syngnathiformes; Syngnathidae
Source: the annotation of a RefSeq genome assembly